UUUCCGUAGGUGAACCUGCGGAAGGAUCAUUACUGUGGGGGAUUGUCCCCAUUAGAUAGAUACCCUUUGUUUAUGAGUACCACUUGUUUCCUCGGCAGGCCUGCCUGCCGCUAGGACACUUCUAUAAACCUUUUGCAGUUGCAGUACCUUCAGUAAUAAAAACAAAAAAUAUCAAAACUUUCAACAACGGAUCUCUUGGUUCUGGCAUCGAUGAAGAACGCAGC
This 224-nucleotide unclassified non-coding RNA is filed under the name uncultured fungus. RNAcentral's name for it is "sequence contains ITS1, 5.8S rRNA gene". The stretch from base 176 to 224 matches the Rfam family "5.8S ribosomal RNA", at positions 1 to 49 of the family's 154-position model. Lineage: Eukaryota; Fungi. The record is from RNAcentral.